CUCUGCAACACACGCCCCUAAGAUAAUAACAUGGCACACCACACGACGCCACCUGCAGGCGCAUCUUAGCAUUCUCAGACCCUUUUCCCAUCCAUCAUCCAUGGAUCCUAACCUCAAAAAUCUCACAAAACCCAUCUCUAGACACGCAACCAGCAAAAACCCAGAUCAUACAAUUCCUUCUAAACAUUUCCACAUGUCAAACCCCUUGUCAAAAUUCAACCCAAAUCGUAAACUCAGUACAUUUACCCAGAAACCUGCCAAGAAUCCACUACCGCCUUGUGUAGACACCCAUUUGCAAGCUAAAUCCAUGAGUCUUUCAGCUGAUUUUGAUGGCUCCAGGCUUUCAAUCUUCAAGCCAAAGCACCAAUACCAAAAAAGAAUCGAAUCAAUUGGGGAAAAAGAUAGCAGAGUCGCUGCAACAAAGGAAGAUUCUAAAGACAAGGUCAAGAAAGUAUCAUCUAAAGGGUUGGUGGACAAGAAGAAAGGACAGGAAAUGCUAGUGAUUGAAAAAAAGAAGGAAAUACAUGCCACAGUGAAGGAUAAUAAGGAAGUUAAGGAUCCAGUUGAAGGGCUUGAUAUUAAGAGGAUGACAUUUUCAUUACGUGGUGGCAGAAGAAGAUCCUUCGGUGGCUCACAAAUGGAGUUGGCUGAUUUUCUAGCUCAUAAU
This 667-nucleotide unclassified non-coding RNA is filed under the name Hevea brasiliensis (rubber tree). The record is from RNAcentral. Lineage: Eukaryota; Viridiplantae; Streptophyta; Magnoliopsida; Malpighiales; Euphorbiaceae.